GUGUCAGCAGCCGCGGUAAUACGGAGGGUGCGAGCGUUGUCCGGAUUUAUUGGGUUUAAAGGGUGCGUAGGCGGCCCGUUAAGUCCGGGGUGAAAGCCCGCUGCUCAACAGCGGAACUGCCCUGGAUACUGACGGGCUUGAGUACAGACGAGGUUGGCGGAAUGGACUGAGUAGCGGUGAAAUGCAUAGAUACAGUCCAGAACCCCGAUUGCGAAGGCAGCUGACUAGGCUGUUACUGACGCUGAGGCACGAAAGCGUGGGGAGCGAACAGGAUUAGAUACCCCCGUAGUCC
Molecule: ribosomal RNA, 292 nt
Filed under: uncultured bacterium
Lineage: Bacteria
Description: partial 16S ribosomal RNA
Rfam family: Bacterial small subunit ribosomal RNA
Source: RNAcentral